GCAAGUCGAGGGGCAGCACAAGGAGCAAUCUGAGGUGGCGACCGGCGCACGGGUGAGUAACACGUAUGCAACCUGCCUGUAAGCGGGGAAUAACCCGUUGAAAGACGGACUAAUACCGCAUAAUACUAAAUUACUGCAUGGUAAUUUAUUUUAAACAUUUAUGGCUUACAGAUGGGCAUGCGCAUGAUUAGCUAGUUGGAGAGGUAACGGCUCCCCAAGGCAACGAUCAUUAGGGGUUCUGAGAGGAAGGUCCCCCACACUGGUACUGAGACACGGACCAGACUCCUACGGGAGGCAGCAGUGAGGAAUAUUGGUCAAUGGACGAGAGUCUGAACCACGCCAAGUCGCGUGCAGGAAGAAUGUCCUAUGGAUUGUAAACUGCUUUUAAUAGGGAUUAAAGUCGACUACGUGUAGUUGUUUGCAAGUACCUAUAGAAUAAGCAUCGGCUAACUCCGUGCCAGCCGCCGC
RNAcentral lists this ribosomal RNA (468 nucleotides) under uncultured bacterium. RNAcentral's name for it is "bacterial SSU rRNA". It matches the Rfam family "Bacterial small subunit ribosomal RNA", at positions 57 to 518 of the family's 1533-position model. The record is from RNAcentral.